GACGAACGCUGGCGGCGUGCCUAACACAUGCAAGUCGAGCGGAGUCAGUAAGAGGAAGUUUUCGGAUGGAAUCUUAUUGAUUUAGCGGCGGACGGGUGAGUAACGCGUGAGCGACCAACCUUGCACAGGGGGAUAACGGACCGAAAGGUUCACUAAUACCGCAUGAGACCACGGUGUUGCAUGACACAGGGGUCAAAGGAGCAAUCCGGUGCAAGACGGGCUCGCGUCCGAUUAGGUAGUUGGAGGGGUAACGGCCCACCAAGCCUAUGAUCGGUAGACGACCUGAGAGGGUGAUCGGCCACAUUGAAAGUGAGAUACAGUCCAAACUCCUACGGGAGGCAGCAGUGGGGAAUAUUGGGCAAUGGGGGAAACCCUGACCCAGCAACGCCGCGUGAAGGAAGAAGGUUUUCGGAUUGUAAACUUCUGUCCUUGGUGAAGAGAAGAAGACGGUAGCCAAGGAGGAAGCCCCGGCUAACUACGUGCCAGCCGCCGCUGUAA
This 498-nucleotide ribosomal RNA is filed under the name uncultured bacterium. RNAcentral's name for it is "partial 16S ribosomal RNA". It matches the Rfam family "Bacterial small subunit ribosomal RNA", at positions 28 to 523 of the family's 1533-position model. The record is from RNAcentral.